CCUCCACUCAAUCACCGCCGUCCUCUUCUCCACCUCCACCUCCACCUCCGCCGCCGUCGAUUUCCUCCACUCCUACACCGUCACCCCUCCGAUCCAAGACUGGCCCCACCGCCUCUCCCCAAAGCGCCUCAUCUCCCUCAUCACCCGCGAGCCCAAACUCGACGUCUCCCUCCAAAUCUUCCACCACGCCUCCAAUUACCACACCUACCACGCCAUCAUCCGCCGCCUCCUCCGCUCCCGCGCUUUUCACCUCAUCGACCCCCUCCUCUCCGACCUCCGCGCCUCCAAUCUCCGAUGCAGCGAAGACCUCUUCAUCUCCCUAAUCCGCAAUUACGGCGUCGUUUCACGCCCUAAACUCGCCUUCAAGACAUUUAUCACCAUUCCGAAAUUCGGCGCCCAACGAUCCGUGAGGUCCUUGAAUGCG
Molecule: long non-coding RNA, 424 nt
Filed under: Rosa chinensis
Lineage: Eukaryota; Viridiplantae; Streptophyta; Magnoliopsida; Rosales; Rosaceae
Description: sRNA RchiOBHm_Chr1g0340501
Source: RNAcentral